GCUACGUUGGCCGAGCGGUUUAGGUACCAGAUUAAGGGUCUGGGUCGAAAGACAAGACAGGUUCGACUCCUGUACGUAGCA
Molecule: transfer RNA, 81 nt
Filed under: Tupanvirus deep ocean
Lineage: Varidnaviria; Bamfordvirae; Nucleocytoviricota; Megaviricetes; Imitervirales; Mimiviridae
Also listed under: 1 other name
Description: tRNA-Leu
Rfam family: tRNA
About the family: Transfer RNA (tRNA) molecules are approximately 80 nucleotides in length. Their secondary structure includes four short double-helical elements and three loops (D, anti-codon, and T loops). Further hydrogen bonds mediate the characteristic L-shaped molecular structure. tRNAs have two regions of fundamental functional importance: the anti-codon, which is responsible for specific mRNA codon recognition, and the 3' end, to which the tRNAs corresponding amino acid is attached (by aminoacyl-tRNA synthetases). tRNAs cope with the degeneracy of the genetic code in two manners: having more than one tRNA (with a specific anti-codon) for a particular amino acid; and 'wobble' base-pairing, i.e. permitting non-standard base-pairing at the 3rd anti-codon position.
Source: RNAcentral